This 762-nucleotide ribosomal RNA is filed under the name Pseudoalteromonas sp. RNAcentral's name for it is "bacterial SSU rRNA". It matches the Rfam family "Bacterial small subunit ribosomal RNA", at positions 32 to 797 of the family's 1533-position model. Lineage: Bacteria; Pseudomonadati; Pseudomonadota; Gammaproteobacteria; Alteromonadales; Pseudoalteromonadaceae. The record is from RNAcentral.
AAGACUGGGGCAGCUACCAUGCAAGUCGAGCGGAAACAAAAGUACUUGCUACUCUGGCGUCGAGCGGCGGACGGGUGAGUAAUGCUUGGGAACAUGCCUUGAGGUGGGGGACAACAGUUGGAAACGACUGCUAAUACCGCAUAAUGUCUACGGACCAAGGGGGGCUUCGGCUCUCGCCUUUAGAUUGGCCCAAGUGGGAUUAGCUAGUUGGUGAGGUAAUGGCUCACCAAGGCGACGAUCCCUAUCUGGUUUGAGAGGAUGAUCAGCCACACUGGGACUGAGACACGGCCCACACUCCUACGGGAGGCAGCAGUGGGGAAUAUUGCACAAUGGGCGCAAGCCUGAUGCACCCAUGCCGCGUGUGUGAAAAAGGCCUUCGGGUUGUAAAGCACUUUCAGUCAGGAGGAAAGGUUAAUAGUUAAUACCUGCUAUCUGUGACGUUACUGACAGAAGAAGCACCGGCUAACUCCGUGCCAGCAGCCGCGGUAAUACGGAGGGUGCGAGCGUUAAUCGGAAUUACUGGGCGUAAAGCGUACGCAGGCGGUUUGUUAAGCGAGAUGUGAAAGCCCCGGGCUCAACCUGGGAACUGCAUUUCGAACUGGCAAACUAGAGUGUGAUAGAGGGUGGUAGAAUUUCAGGUGUAGCGGUGAAAUGCGUAGAGAUCUGAAGGAAUACCGAUGGCGAAGGCAGCCACCUGGGUCAACACUGACGCUCAUGUACGAAAGCGUGGAGAGCAAACAAGAUUAUAUCCCUGGGUACUCA